RNAcentral lists this ribosomal RNA (694 nucleotides) under uncultured bacterium. RNAcentral describes it as "bacterial SSU rRNA". It matches the Rfam family "Bacterial small subunit ribosomal RNA", at positions 32 to 715 of the family's 1533-position model. The record is from RNAcentral.
AACGCUAGCUACAGGCUUAACACAUGCAAGUCGAGGGGCAGCAUGGUCUUAGCUUGCUAAGGCCGAUGGCGACCGGCGCACGGGUGAGUAACACGUAUCCAACCUGCCGUCUACUCUUGGACAGCCUUCUGAAAGGAAGAUUAAUACAAGAUGGCAUCAUGAGUUCACAUGUUCACAUGAUUAAAGGUAUUCCGGUAGACGAUGGGGAUGCGUUCCAUUAGAUAGUAGGCGGGGUAACGGCCCACCUAGUCUUCGAUGGAUAGGGGUUCUGAGAGGAAGGUCCCCCACAUUGGAACUGAGACACGGUCCAAACUCCUACGGGAGGCAGCAGUGAGGAAUAUUGGUCAAUGGGCGCAGGCCUGAACCAGCCAAGUAGCGUGAAGGAUGACUGCCCUAUGGGUUGUAAACUUCUUUUAUAAAGGAAUAAAGUCGGGUAUGUAUACCCGUUUGCAUGUACUUUAUGAAUAAGGAUCGGCUAACUCCGUGCCAGCAGCCGCGGUAAUACGGAGGGUCCGAGCGUUAUCCGGAUUUAUUGGGUUUAAAGGGAGCGUAGAUGGAUGUUUAAGUCAGUUGUGAAAGUUUGCGGCUCAACCGUAAAAUUGCAGUUGAUACUGGAUAUCUUGAGUGCAGUUGAGGCAGGCGGAAUUCGUGGUGUAGCGGUGAAAUGCUUAGAUAUCACGAAGAACUCCGAUUG